Molecule: ribosomal RNA, 496 nt
Filed under: uncultured bacterium
Lineage: Bacteria
Description: partial 16S ribosomal RNA
Rfam family: Bacterial small subunit ribosomal RNA
Source: RNAcentral
GAUGAACGCUGGCGGCGUGCCUAAUACAUGCAAGUCGAGCGAACGGACGAGAAGCUUGCUCCUCUGAUGUUAGCGGCGGACGGGUGAGUAACACGUGGAUAACCUACCUAUAAGACUGGGAUAACUUCGGGAAACCGUAGCUAAUACCGGAUAAUAUUUUGAACCGCAUGGUUCAAAAGUGAAAGACGGUCUUGCUGUCACUUAUAGAUGGAUCCGCGCUGCAUUAGCUAGUUGGUAAGGUAACGGCUUACCAAGGCAACGAUGCAUAGCCGACCUGAGAGGGUGAUCGGCCACACUGGAACUGAGACACGGUCCAGACUCCUACGGGAGGCAGCAGUAGGGAAUCUUCCGCAAUGGGCGAAAGCCUGACGGAGCAACGCCGCGUGAGUGAUGAAGGUCUUCGGAUCGUAAAACUCUGUUAUUAGGGAAGAACAUAUGUGUAAGUAACUGUGCACAUCUUGACGGUACCUAAUCAGAAAGCCACGGCUAACUACGU